GCCNGNCUGACAAGAGAAAAUGUNCACUGGGCGCNGNANCCNAACCGUGCGAAGGUAGCGUAAUCACUUGUUCUUUAAAUGAGGACUAGUAUGAAUGGCACCACGAGGGUUAUACUGUCUCCUUUUUCCAAUCAGUGAAACUAAUCUCCCCGUGAAGAAGCGGGAAUAAACCUAUAAGACGAGAAGACCCUAUGGAGCUUUAAACAACAUAACACUUGCCCURCAACAUAAAAAUUCCUGAACACAUAAAUUUACUGGCAUGCUGACUAUAAGUUUNUGGUUGGGGUGACCGAGGAGCAUAAUACAACCUCCAUGUUGAAAGAUAUUAUUCUUAGCUGAAACCUNCUAGUUUAAUCACCAAUAUAUUGANAUCCAUUGACNCAAUAAAAUUGGGCNNCGAACCAAGUUACCCUAGGGAUAACAGCNCAAUCCACUCCAAGAGCUCCUAUCGNCAUAGUGGGUUUGCGACCUNGAUGCUNCNANCUGGGUAUCCCNAGUGAUACAUGNGCUGAGCUCAAGAUCCGUCNUGCU
Molecule: ribosomal RNA, 531 nt
Filed under: Incilius melanochlorus (dark green toad)
Lineage: Eukaryota; Metazoa; Chordata; Amphibia; Anura; Bufonidae
Description: partial 16S ribosomal RNA
Rfam family: Bacterial large subunit ribosomal RNA
Source: RNAcentral